Molecule: ribosomal RNA, 253 nt
Filed under: uncultured bacterium
Lineage: Bacteria
Description: partial 16S ribosomal RNA
Rfam family: Bacterial small subunit ribosomal RNA
Source: RNAcentral
UACAGAGGGUGCAAGCGUUGUUCGGAAUUAUUGGGCGUAAAGAGCGUGUAGGCGGCUAGGUAGGUCCGUUGUGAAAACUCGAGGCUCAACCUCGAGACGCCGGUGGAAACCAUCUAGCUAGAGUCCGGAAGAGGAGAGUGGAAUUCCUGGUGUAGCGGUGAAAUGCGCAGAUAUCAGGAAGAACACCCGUGGCGAAGGCGGCUCUCUGGGACGUGACUGACGCUGAGACGCGAAAGCGUGGGGAGCGAACAGG